UCAAACUUGGUCAUUUAGAGGAAGUAAAAGUCGUAACAAGGUCUCCGUUGGUGAACCAGCGGAGGGAUCAUUACAGAGUGUAAAAACUCCCUAACCCACUGUGAACAUACCUCUUGUUGCUUCGGCGGGAACGCCCCGGCGCGCUCCCCUCCCCCGCUCCGGCGGGGUGCGGGGUGCCGAGCCCGGAACCAGGCGCCCGCCGGAGGUUACCAAACUCCUGCUUUACUGUACGUUUUCUUCUGAGUGGCAAACGCAAAAUAAAUCAAAACUUUCAACAACGGAUCUCUUGGCUCUGGCAUCGAUGAAGAACGCAGC
This 315-nucleotide unclassified non-coding RNA is filed under the name uncultured fungus. Its description in RNAcentral is "partial contains small subunit ribosomal RNA, internal transcribed spacer 1, and 5.8S ribosomal RNA". The stretch from base 1 to 73 matches the Rfam family "Eukaryotic small subunit ribosomal RNA", at positions 1759 to 1831 of the family's 1831-position model. Lineage: Eukaryota; Fungi. The record is from RNAcentral.